RNAcentral lists this ribosomal RNA (452 nucleotides) under uncultured bacterium. RNAcentral's name for it is "bacterial SSU rRNA". It matches the Rfam family "Bacterial small subunit ribosomal RNA", at positions 29 to 526 of the family's 1533-position model. The record is from RNAcentral.
AACGAACGCUGGCGGCAGGCUUAACACAUGCAAGUCGAACGCAUCCUUCGGGAUGAGUGGCAGACGGGUGAGUAACGCGUGGGAAUUUACCCAGCUCUACGGAACAACUCAGGGAAACUUGAGCUAAUACCGUAUACGCCCUUUUGGGGAAAGAUUUAUCGGAGUUGGAUGAGCCCGCGUUUGAUUAGCUAGUUGGUGGGGUAAAGGCCUACCAAGGCGACGAUCAAUAGCUGGUCUGAGAGGAUGAUCAGCCACACUGGGACUGAGACACGGCCCAGACUCCUACGGGAGGCAGCAGUGGGGAAUAUUGGACAAUGGGCGCAAGCCUGAUCCAGCCAUGCCGCGUGAGUGAUGAAGGCCCUAGGGUUGUAAAGCUCUUUCAACGGUGAAGAUAAUGACGGUAACCGUAGAAGAAGCCCCGGCUAACUUCGUGCCAGCCGCCGCCGUAACAC